This 497-nucleotide ribosomal RNA is filed under the name uncultured bacterium. RNAcentral describes it as "partial 16S ribosomal RNA". It matches the Rfam family "Bacterial small subunit ribosomal RNA", at positions 28 to 507 of the family's 1533-position model. The record is from RNAcentral.
GAUGAACGCUGGCGGCGUGCCUAAUACAUGCAAGUCGAGCGAACGGACGAGAAGCUUGCUUCUCUGAUGUUAGCGGCGGACGGGUGAGUAACACGUGGAUAACCUACCUAUAAGACUGGGAUAACUUCGGGAAACCGGAGCUAAUACCGGAUGAUAUUUUGAACCGCAUGGUUCAAAAGUGAAAGACGGUCUUGCUGUCACUUAUAGAUGGAUCCGCGCUGCCUUAGCUAGUUGGUAAGGUAACGGCUUACCAAGGCAACGAUGCAUAGCCGACCUGAGAGGGUGAUCGGCCACACUGGAACUGAGACACGGUCCAGACUCCUACGGGAGGCAGCAGUAGGGAAUCUUCCGCAAUGGGCGAAAGCCUGACGGAGCAACGCCGCGUGAGUGAUGAAGGUCUUCGGAUCGUAAAACUCUGUUAUUAGGGAAGAACAUAUGUGUAAGUAACUGUGCACAUCUUGACGGUACCUAAUCAGAAAGCCACGGCUAACUACGUG